RNAcentral lists this ribosomal RNA (253 nucleotides) under uncultured bacterium. RNAcentral's name for it is "partial 16S ribosomal RNA". It matches the Rfam family "Bacterial small subunit ribosomal RNA", at positions 524 to 776 of the family's 1533-position model. The record is from RNAcentral.
UACGUAGGGGGCAAGCGUUAUCCGGAUUUACUGGGUGUAAAGGGGGCGCAGACGGCGAUGCAAGCCAGGAGUGAAAGCCCGGGGCCCAACCCCGGGACUGCUCUUGGAACUGCGUGGCUGGAGUGCAGGAGGGGCAGGCGGAAUUCCUGGUGUAGCGGUGAAAUGCGUAGAUAUCAGGAGGAACACCGGUGGCGAAGGCGGCCUGCUGGACUGCAACUGAUGUUGAGGCCCGAAAGCGUGGGGAGCAAACAGG